AUGGAUUCAGAUUCUGCUGCUGCCUUCCAACAGGUGGGUCAUUCUGAUGCUGCUGUACAAGUUCAGAACAUGGAUAAGACAGAUGUGGUGGAAACGGACUUGGUUGUCAGCUCUCUGCUGAUCCCUGGUGUGUCGAUGCACGAGGAGAUGCCUCAUGCUGCUAAGAUGGCCAAAAUUGAGAGUGAGUCAGAGACUGUUGGCAAGGACAUGGACAUGCAGAUGAAGCAGCUGGUGCCUGCUGCUGCGGUUCGUCAGAAGGGUAAGCGUGCUAAGAUGCCCACUCCUCUGGUUACUACUGAACUAAGACGUGGUCUAAGAAGUGAUAAGGAGGGCUUUGAGGAGUUGCCUCUCGCCCCUGGAUGGCACUUCCCGUCGCAAAAAAUCUGCUAUACCUGA
This 396-nucleotide ribosomal RNA is filed under the name Triticum aestivum (bread wheat). RNAcentral's name for it is "partial small subunit ribosomal RNA". Lineage: Eukaryota; Viridiplantae; Streptophyta; Magnoliopsida; Poales; Poaceae. The record is from RNAcentral.